RNAcentral lists this ribosomal RNA (253 nucleotides) under uncultured bacterium. RNAcentral's name for it is "partial 16S ribosomal RNA". It matches the Rfam family "Bacterial small subunit ribosomal RNA", at positions 524 to 776 of the family's 1533-position model. The record is from RNAcentral.
UACGGAGGGGGCUAGCGUUGUUCGGAAUUACUGGGCGUGAAGCGCACGUAGGCGGCUUUGUAAGUUAGAGGUGAAAGCCCGGGGCUCAACUCCGGAAUUGCCUUUAAGACUGCAUCGCUAGAAUUGUGGAGAGGUAAGUGGAAUUCCGAGUGUAGAGGUGAAAUUCGUAGAUAUUCGGAAGAACACCAGUGGCGAAGGCGACUUACUGGACACAUAUUGACGCUGAGGUGCGAAAGCGUGGGGAGCAAACAGG